This 505-nucleotide ribosomal RNA is filed under the name uncultured bacterium. RNAcentral describes it as "partial 16S ribosomal RNA". It matches the Rfam family "Bacterial small subunit ribosomal RNA", at positions 29 to 523 of the family's 1533-position model. The record is from RNAcentral.
AGUGAACGCUGGCGGUAGGCCUAACACAUGCAAGUCGAACGGCAGCACAGGAGAGCUUGCUCUCUGGGUGGCGAGUGGCGGACGGGUGAGGAAUACAUCGGAAUCUACUCUGUCGUGGGGAUAACGUAGGGAAACUUACGCUAAUACCGCACACGACCUACGGGUGAAAGCAGGGGACCUUCGGGCCUUGCGCGAUUGAAUGAGCCGAUGUCGGAUUAGCUAGUUGGCGGGGUAAAGGCCCACCAAGGCGACGAUCCGUAGCUGGUCUGAGAGGAUGAUCAGCCACACUGGGACUGAGACACGGUCCAGACUCCUACGGGAGGCAGCAGUGGGGAAUAUUGGACAAUGGGCGCAAGCCUGAUCCAGCCAUACCGCGUGGGUGAAGAAGGCCUUCGGGUUGUAAAGCCCUUUUGUUGGGAAAGAAAUCCAGCUGGCUAAUAUCCGGUUGGGAUGACGGUACCCAAAGAAUAAGCACCGGCUAACUUCGUGCCAGCCGCCGCAGUAA